CAGAGAGACUGGUGUUUUGUUGUUGCGAGGAGGUGAGUGGGGGUGAGGUUGAUGUGUUUGUCUGGAUUUCUUUAGUAUUAUUCCCUAAAUGAUUAAUGGCUAUUAGAUCAAAUAAAAUGUUUCUCUUAUAAAUACUUUUGCAUAGUAUGACAUGUUGGAACGUUGUUUUGUACAAAAAUAUCAAUACAAAAAUGAUUAUUAUCACCAUAAACUGCAUUAGUCCAACAAUAUGCUAAUUUAUUUACAUGAUAUAGACUGAAGGAAAAAAAUGAUAAAUAAAUUGAUAAAUAAUAACAAUAAACAUGAAAUAUAAUAUUAAACAGUGUUACCUGCAGAGAGACUGAUGUUUUGUUGUUGCGAGGUGGUGAGUGGGGGUGAAGUUGAUGUGCUUGUCUGGAUUUCUUUAGUAUUACCACAUAAAUGAUAAUGAUUAUUAGAUU
Molecule: long non-coding RNA, 440 nt
Organism: Ctenopharyngodon idella (grass carp)
Lineage: Eukaryota; Metazoa; Chordata; Actinopteri; Cypriniformes; Xenocyprididae
Exons: 2
Source: RefSeq, a predicted model, not a curated record